UACCAGCACCCCGAGUGGUCGGGACGUUUAUUGGGCCUAAAGCAUCCGUAGCCGGUUCUACAAGUCUUCCGUUAAAUCCAACUGCUUAACAGGUGGGCUGCGGAAGAUACUAUAGAGCUAGGAGGCGGGAGAGGCAAGCGGUACUCGAAUGGGUAGGGGUAAAAUCCGUUGAUCCAUUGAAGACCACCAGUGGCGAAGGCGGCUUGCCAGAACGCGCUCGACGGUGAGGAUGAAAGCUGGGGAGCAACCGGAUAGAACCCA
RNAcentral lists this ribosomal RNA (261 nucleotides) under uncultured bacterium. RNAcentral describes it as "partial 16S ribosomal RNA". It matches the Rfam family "Archaeal small subunit ribosomal RNA", at positions 474 to 739 of the family's 1478-position model. The record is from RNAcentral.